UGGAAAGAAUGAAGGAAAGGGUGACAACUAUUCAUUGUUGAGAAACUGAAGCCACUUGCAUUUGGGGUGAACCAGUAAUUAACACUAGGCAAAUAUGGCCCCAGCAGUAACCACUGAAGGAGCCUCUGCUUCCACAGGUUAAAGAAGACAUUCCUGUAACCCAGGAGAUUCCAAGGACUGCAAGAGCAAGGUACCACAGCAUCCCCAUGUUACCAAACAAGAGACAAAGAUCAGACAGAUUACAGACUUCAUUACCAUAGGGACCCUAAAGGAUGUCAUAAACCUCAGAAAACCCCCUACAUUGCCAGCCCUUAGAGAAGAAACUGAAAAUGCAUGUGCAGCAGUCUCAAUGGACACUUUGACCAAGAUCAUUCAAGCAGUAGUUUGCUGUACUAAUAAAUGUCUACAAGCUAAUGGCCAC
This 421-nucleotide long non-coding RNA is filed under the name Fukomys damarensis (Damara mole-rat). RNAcentral describes it as "lncRNA (ENSFDAG00000022118.1)". Lineage: Eukaryota; Metazoa; Chordata; Mammalia; Rodentia; Bathyergidae. The record is from RNAcentral.